RNAcentral lists this ribosomal RNA (515 nucleotides) under uncultured bacterium. Its description in RNAcentral is "partial 16S ribosomal RNA". It matches the Rfam family "Bacterial small subunit ribosomal RNA", at positions 28 to 523 of the family's 1533-position model. The record is from RNAcentral.
GAUGAACGCUGGCGGCGUGCCUAAUACAUGCAAGUCGAGCGAAUGGAUUAAGAGCUUGCUCUUAUGAAGUUAGCGGCGGACGGGUGAGUAACACGUGGGUAACCUGCCCAUAAGACUGGGAUAACUCCGGGAAACCGGGGCUAAUACCGGAUAACAUUUUGAACCGCAUGGUUCGAAAUUGAAAGGCGGCUUCGGCUGUCACUUAUGGAUGGACCCGCGUCGCAUUAGCUAGUUGGUGAGGUAACGGCUCACCAAGGCAACGAUGCGUAGCCGACCGGAGAGGGAGAUCGGCCACACUGGGACUGAGACACGGCCCGGACUCCUACGGGAGGCAGCAGUAGGGAAUCUUCCGCAAUGGACGAAAGUCUGACGGAGCAACGCCGCGUGAGUGAUGAAGGCUUUCGGGUCGUAAAACUCUGUUGUUAGGGAAGAACAAGUGCUAGUUGAAUAAGCUGGCACCUUGACGGUACCUAACCAGAAAGCCACGGCUAACUACGUGCCAGCCGCCGCCGUAA